GGAUUGUCCAAUCAAAGCAAUUUUUGGUUGGCGAAGUUUGCAGGUGCCUGGUUUGGAGAGUGAUGGGCUUGCUUCAUAGAGUUCCAUGAGUGCCAAUCAAAAUGAUGCAGGACAAUUAACCACAAGACCCAACUAUUUUUGAAGGGACUGUGUGAAGCAACCUUGACCCUCUUGAAGAGUAUAAAUAUGAACAGAUUUGGGAGGCUCUAGAUCGGUGCCAAGUAGGGGACACAGUUAGGAGAAGGGAAGGAAAGCUUGACUCAGCAGUGACUGAAAAUAGAGAGAACUGGAGCAUGGGUCAGAGGCAGCUGGUAUGUCUGGGACGAGUGAUAUUGAAGAGAAGCAAGGUCUUAGUACUCGAUGAAGCAACCGCUUCAGUCGAUACUGCAACUGACAGCCUAAUUCAGCAAACGUUAAGGCAACAGUUUUCGGGCUGUACAAUCAUCACAUUAGCACAUAGGAUAACAUCCGUUCUCAGUAGCAACAUGGUCUUGCUUCUUGAUAAGGGUUAGCAACUUAACAAUCCAGCUUUCUUCUUCCAUCUUUAUAUCCUUUUCAAAGCACUUGAUUAUUAUUUUUCCCUCCCUGAACGGGCAUUAUUGCAGAAUAUGACUCUCCAACGAAACUGUUGGAAAACAAAUCAUCUUCAUUCGCCAGACUCGUUGCGGAGUAUACUGUAAGGCUUUUGGAUACACUGUAGAAGGCCUGGAGAUGCUGUUGUUGCCCAUGGCAAAAGAUGGUACUGAGGCUCUUGGCUCAAUGGGAAAUGAUGCUCCUUUGGCUGUGAUGUCCAACAGAGAGAAACUUACAUUUGAGUAUUUCAAGCAGAUGUUUGCUCAGGUUACAAACCCACCGAUUGAUCCGAUCCGAGAGAAAAUAGUCAUGUAGAAGGGGACCUUACCGAAACAGUUCAUGUGGAAGGCUGUGGCAGUUUGUUUGUUUUGAAAACUUUAAAUAGACCAUUAAUUGUUUUGUUGGUAUUGUGCUGAUUGUUGUCUUGAUGGAUGUUAAAUGGGUGAAGCAUGCACAGGUUCAAUCAUUGGUUGAUUAUAAUAUUGUUAGCUUUUGUUGAUAGAAACUA
Magnolia sinica is the source of this 1081-nucleotide long non-coding RNA. RefSeq lists it as uncharacterized. The transcript has 4 exons. Lineage: Eukaryota; Viridiplantae; Streptophyta; Magnoliopsida; Magnoliales; Magnoliaceae. The record is from RefSeq and is a predicted model, not a curated record.